UCCUGUUUUAUUUAUCCAUUAUUUUAUUAUGCAUUUUUAUACAUGCUCUUUUUGUAGCCUACAUACCUUAUUACCACUUGAGUGUAUUUACUGUAUAUGAUGUUAGUUUGACUGAACAAACCAUGGAAACAUGCAUAAAUCUGAGUGUGAAUGUAUAUUUGCACAGGAGGAUAAAUUGCCAGUUGUUUUUUCAAAACUAUUUAUUUUACAGUUGUGCAGCUUCCACAGCCCUCCGGCAUGUAACAUUUCACUCUUGCUGUUUCCAUUGCAGAUUAAUUAGAUGCCGAAUCUUGAUUUCACAGUUCAGCUUUAAUUCAAUUACAUUCGAGCUCCUCACUACAGGAGCUCAGGUGAAGUCUUUUCCACUCUUGGGACGCAUGAUUUCCAUUUAGGAUUUGUGUGUGUGUGUGUGUGUGUGUGUGUGUGUGUGUGUGUGUGUGCGCGCGCGCGCGCGUGUGUUUGUGUGCGUGUGUGUGUGUGUGUGUAUGAGGUGUUUCCUCGGUCAGAUUAAAAUAGCAUAAAAUUGCACUGGUUUAUUCCUACAGUAAUCAAGCCUGAUUCCUUAAAUAGAAACCCAGGUGCUUUCCAUCGAUGUAGCCUAUAUUCUCAGCCUUCGUAUGUUUUAUUCAUAUGCAUCCUUAACCUUCAUAUAAUGUAAUUUGGGCCGCACCCUUAACAAGGUCUGAAAAAAAUCCGCGUCCAUUGGCCUCCUCUCGCGGUCGUCACUCCACAGCGACCCGCCUCCUCCUUGUCUUCUCCCGAGCAGCAGACGUAUAUAAACACACGGCUCCGUCUCCCUCCAGCCUACCCAGUAACAUCACGAUGUAACCAUUACGUGGAGCUCAGAUAUGGGAGGGCGCACAGGCACCGACUGUGGCUGAAAAAACCCAACAGUGAAAGAGACGUCGGCGUCACCUGUUGUUCCCGUCGAUACACGGUGAGUCCAUCACUUCCAGCCUUUAACCUGGGUGAUUUCUGAAGAGAAUGCAGAGUUAGGAGGUUUAUUUUUGCAGCACAUCAAUAUGUUUCCAUUGCCCUCACGUUGCCUUUCCUUCUUUUAUGAUUUUUUUUUUUUAUUUUGCACUUCAGCGUGGAGUGAAAAGCCUUGAUGAAGCAAAAAGCCCUCGAGCCAUACAAGAAAAAGCAAAAAUAGCUGCUUAAAUCCCGACUGCGUCUGAGGGAAAUUAAAUGACAACCUCUUCCUCCUCUUCCUGCCUCGCCUGCGGGUGGACGGGGGGUGGGGGUUCGGGAGAGCGGGGGGUGGGGGGGCGAAUGUUUAUCAUGUCGUCAUGUUGCCGUGAUUUGAGACAGAAAAGGUAGCUGAGCUUACUUUGCGCCAGGACCAGGGUCGCCACAGAUCAUAUAUGUCACAUAUCAGACGCGGUUCGGGUUUGUAACCUCCAGAGAGAAAACUUCGGUGCAGCAACAGGUGGCAUGUUUUUCCCGGGCCGGAAUCGAGGCGAGAUGCUGAGGAGGAGAUGGACGCGGAGGAAAGUAGGGCGUCAUUCAGCACCGAGACACUGGACAGCUCCCACGUCGAGGGCUACUCACUUCCAUUGAGCUGCGAUCUGGACGGAAUAACAGAUUGAAGCAGUGGACGAGGACAGAAAGGAGGGGAUAAAGAGGGAAAGUGUUGGUAGUGCUGAGUGGAAGACUAGUGAUUUUGUUGUGACGCUGAUCAAAGAACAACAAGUCCCAGUCUGCCUCUCAGCACAAGCAGUGUCCUUCAGUGUCCAUCAGCUUUAACCUGGAUGUAUCUACAAUUCAGAAUCUGUUCACUGUUUCUAUGUUGAAUUUUCCUGUUUUUAUGAAACCUGCCCUUUAAAACGCACUCAAAGUGUUCUGAUUCAGCCCUGGUGUGACUAUAUGUAGCCUUAAUGUAAAAGCAUCAUUUAACCAGGGAUGUUCAUUGAACUGAAUCAUGCACAAUGAAAACUGCUCCAAAACCUGUUGUGCAAUAAUGUUAUAGUGACAUACAGCAGCACACCUUGGUCAAAAAAGACUUAAAUAAUCCAGUUUUACUGAUUUGAGUUAAUUCCGAAAUGCUUAUUGUUCAUUCAUUCAUCUGCAUUGGAGCUUACAGAGUGUCUAGCAUUUUAUGUAGGUGGAAUAAAACUUGAAUGUAAACCUCU
Molecule: long non-coding RNA, 2132 nt
Organism: Seriola aureovittata
Lineage: Eukaryota; Metazoa; Chordata; Actinopteri; Carangiformes; Carangidae
Exons: 2
Source: RefSeq, a predicted model, not a curated record